GAUGAACGCUGGCGGCGUGCCUAAUACAUGCAAGUCGAGCGAACGGACGAGAAGCUUGCUUCUCUGAUGUUAGCGGCGGACGGGUGAGUAACACGUGGAUAACCUACCUAUAAGACUGGGAUAACUUCGGGAAACCGGAGCUAAUACCGGAUAAUAUUUUGAACCGCAUGGUUCAAAAGUGAAAGACGGUCUUGCUGUCACUUAUAGAUGGAUCCGCGCUGCAUUAGCUAGUUGGUAAGGUAACGGCUUACCAAGGCAACGAUGCAUAGCCGACCUGAGAGGGUGAUCGGCCACACUGGAACUGAGACACGGUCCAGACUCCUACGGGAGGCAGCAGUAGGGAACCUUCCGCACUGGGCGAAAGCCUGACGGAGCAACGUCGCGUGAGUGACGAAGGUCUUCGGAUCGUAAAACUCUGUUAUUAGUGGAAGAACAUAUGUGUAAGUAACUGUGCACAUCUUGACGGUACCUCAUCAGAUAGCCACGGCUAACUACAUGCCAUCCACCCGCGGUAAUACGUAAGUGGCAAGCGGUAUCCGGAUUUAUUGUGCAUAAAGCGCCCUUACGCGGUUUUUUAGUCUGAUGUGAAAGCCCACGGCUCAACCGUGGAGGGUCAUUGGAAACUGGAAAACUUGAGUGCAGAAGAGGAAAGUGGAAUUCCAUGUGUAGCGGUGAAAUGCGCAGAGAUAUGGAGGAACACCAGUGGCGAAGGCGACUUUCUGGUCUGUAACUGACGCUGAUGUGCGAAAGCGUGGGGAUCAAACAGGAUUAGAUACCCUGGUAGUCCACGCCGUAAACGAUGAGUGCUAAGUGUUAGGGGGUUUCCGCCCCUUAGUGCUGCAGUUAACGCAUUAAGCACUCCGCCUGGGGAGUACGACCGCAAGGUUGAAACUCAAAGGAAUUGACGGGGGCCCGCACAAGCGGUGGAGCAUGUGGUUUAAUUCGAAGCAACGCGAAGAACCUUACCAAAUCUUGACAUCCUUUGACAACUCUAGAGAUAGAGCCUUCCCCUUCGGGGGACAAAGUGACAGGUGGUGCAUGGUUGUCGUCAGCUCGUGUCGUGAGAUGUUGGGUUAAGUCCCGCAACGAGCGCAACCCUUAAGCUUAGUUGCCAUCAUUAAGUUGGGCACUCUAAGUUGACUGCCGGUGACAAACCGGAGGAAGGUGGGGAUGACGUCAAAUCAUCAUGCCCCUUAUGAUUUGGGCUACACACGUGCUACAAUGGACAAUACAAAGGGCAGCGAAACCGCGAGGUCAAGCAAAUCCCAUAAAGUUGUUCUCAGUUCGGAUUGUAGUCUGCAACUCGACUACAUGAAGCUGGAAUCGCUAGUAAUCGUAGAUCAGCAUGCUACGGUGAAUACGUUCCCGGGUCU
This 1373-nucleotide ribosomal RNA is filed under the name uncultured bacterium. RNAcentral's name for it is "bacterial SSU rRNA". It matches the Rfam family "Bacterial small subunit ribosomal RNA", at positions 28 to 1381 of the family's 1533-position model. The record is from RNAcentral.